This 83-nucleotide transfer RNA is filed under the name Commensalibacter papalotli (ex Servin-Garciduenas et al. 2014). It matches the Rfam family "tRNA". Rfam says of the family: Transfer RNA (tRNA) molecules are approximately 80 nucleotides in length. Their secondary structure includes four short double-helical elements and three loops (D, anti-codon, and T loops). Lineage: Bacteria; Pseudomonadati; Pseudomonadota; Alphaproteobacteria; Acetobacterales; Acetobacteraceae. The record is from Rfam by way of RNAcentral.
GCCCCAAUGGCGGAAUGGUAGACGCGCAGGUUUCAGGUACCUGUGACCGCAAGGUCGUGGAAGUUCAACUCUUCUUUGGGGCA